UGCCCAGCAAAUCCUAUCGCUACCUCCUCGUGGUACGGGUAACCUUAGGGAAGAUCGGGUAACCCCGUAUGCUGACAGGGAAGG
RNAcentral lists this ribozyme (84 nucleotides) under Aedes aegypti (yellow fever mosquito). Its description in RNAcentral is "drz-agam-1 ribozyme". It matches the Rfam family "drz-agam-1 ribozyme". The record is from Rfam by way of RNAcentral. Lineage: Eukaryota; Metazoa; Arthropoda; Insecta; Diptera; Culicidae.